RNAcentral lists this ribosomal RNA (498 nucleotides) under uncultured bacterium. Its description in RNAcentral is "partial 16S ribosomal RNA". It matches the Rfam family "Bacterial small subunit ribosomal RNA", at positions 30 to 523 of the family's 1533-position model. The record is from RNAcentral.
AUUGAACGCUGGCGGCAUGCCUUACACAUGCAAGUCGAACGGUAGAGGGGGCAACCCCUUGAGAGUGGCGAACGGGUGAGUAAUGCAUCGGAACGUGCCCAGUUGUGGGGGAUAACACUUCGAAAGAAGUGCUAAUACCGCAUACGACCUGAGGGUGAAAGCGGGGGACUCGCAAGAGCCUCGCGCAAUUGGAGCGGCCGAUGUCAGAUUAGGUAGUUGGUGGGGUAAAGGCCUACCAAGCCGACGAUCUGUAGCUGGUCUGAGAGGACGACCAGCCACACUGGGACUGAGACACGGCCCAGACUCCUACGGGAGGCAGCAGUGGGGAAUUUUGGACAAUGGACGCAAGUCUGAUCCAGCCAUGCCGCGUGCAGGAAGAAGGCCUUCGGGUUGUAAACUGCUUUUGUCAGGGAAGAAAUCCUUUGGGUUAAUACCUCGGGGGGAUGACGGUACCUGAAGAAUAAGCACCGGCUAACUACGUGCCAGCAGCCGCAGUAA